UACCCUGGCACAUCGGUCACUGCAGGACU
RNAcentral lists this non-coding RNA (29 nucleotides) under Rattus norvegicus (Norway rat). Lineage: Eukaryota; Metazoa; Chordata; Mammalia; Rodentia; Muridae. The record is from RNAcentral.